This 447-nucleotide ribosomal RNA is filed under the name uncultured bacterium. RNAcentral describes it as "bacterial SSU rRNA". It matches the Rfam family "Bacterial small subunit ribosomal RNA", at positions 355 to 825 of the family's 1533-position model. The record is from RNAcentral.
UCGGGAAUUUUGGGCAAUGGGCGAAAGCCUGACCCAGCAACGCCGCGUGAAGGAUGAAGUAUUUCGGUAUGUAAACUUCGAAAGAAUAGGAAGAAUAAAUGACGGUACUAUUUAUAAGGUCCGGCUAACUACGUGCCAGCAGCCGCGGUAAUACGUAGGGACCAAGCGUUGUUCGGAUUUACUGGGCGUAAAGGGCGCGUAGGCGGCAAUUCAAGUCAUCUGUGAAAUCUCCGUGCUUAACUCGGAACGGUCAGAUGAUACUGCUUUGCUAGAGUGCAGAAGGGGCAAUCGGAAUUCUUGGUGUAGCGGUGAAAUGCGUAGAUAUCAAGAGGAACACCUGAGGUGAAGACGGGUUGCUGGGCUGACACUGACGCUGAGGCGCGAAAGCCAGGGGAGCAAACGGGAUUAGAUACCCGAGUAGUCCCUGAGCGGGCUGGCAAGGCGCAU